This 764-nucleotide ribosomal RNA is filed under the name uncultured Rheinheimera sp. RNAcentral's name for it is "bacterial SSU rRNA". It matches the Rfam family "Bacterial small subunit ribosomal RNA", at positions 1 to 779 of the family's 1533-position model. The record is from RNAcentral. Lineage: Bacteria; Pseudomonadati; Pseudomonadota; Gammaproteobacteria; Chromatiales; Chromatiaceae.
UAGAGUUUGAUCCUGGCUCAGAUUGAACGCUGGCGGCAGGCCUAACACAUGCAAGUCGAGCGGGGUUUUCGGACCUAGCGGCGGACGGGUGAGUAAUGCGUAGGAAGCUACCCGAUAGAGGGGGAUACCAGUUGGAAACGACUGUUAAUACCGCAUAAUGUCUACGGACCAAAGUGUGGGACCUUCGGGCCACAUGCUAUCGGAUGCGCCUACGUGGGAUUAGCUAGUUGGUGAGGUAAUGGCUCACCAAGGCGACGAUCCCUAGCUGGUUUGAGAGGAUGAUCAGCCACACUGGAACUGAGACACGGUCCAGACUCCUACGGGAGGCAGCAGUGGGGAAUAUUGGACAAUGGGCGCAAGCCUGAUCCAGCCAUGCCGCGUGUGUGAAGAAGGCCUUCGGGUUGUAAAGCACUUUCAGUAGGGAGGAAGCGUUGUGUGUUAAUAGUACACAGCGUUGACGUUACCUACAGAAGAAGCACCGGCUAACUCUGUGCCAGCAGCCGCGGUAAUACAGAGGGUGCAAGCGUUAUCGGAAUUACUGGGCGUAAAGCGCACGUAGGCGGUUUUUUAAGUCAGAUGUGAAAGCCCCGGGCUCAACCUGGGAAUUGCAUUUGAAACUGGAAAACUAGAGUGUGUGAGAGGGGGGUAGAAUUCCAAGUGUAGCGGUGAAAUGCGUAGAGAUUUGGAGGAAUACCAGUGGCGAAGGCGGCCCCCUGGCACAACACUGACGCUCAGGUGCGAAAGCGUGGGGAGCAAACAGGAUU